RNAcentral lists this ribosomal RNA (427 nucleotides) under uncultured Acidobacteriota bacterium. RNAcentral's name for it is "bacterial SSU rRNA". It matches the Rfam family "Bacterial small subunit ribosomal RNA", at positions 355 to 774 of the family's 1533-position model. The record is from RNAcentral. Lineage: Bacteria; Pseudomonadati; Acidobacteriota.
UGGGGAAUAUUGGACAAUGGGGGAAACCCUGAUCCAGCAACGCCGCGUGGAGGAUGAAGGUCUUCGGAUUGUAAACUCCUGUUAGGGGGGACGAAGGAAUGCCGGCGAAUAGUCGGCAAACUUGACGGUACCCCCAGAGGAAGCCCCGGCUAACUCUGUGCCAGCAGCCGCGGUAAUACAGAGGGGGCAAGCGUUAUUCGGAAUUAUUGGGCGUAAAGGGCGCGUAGGCGGCCUUGUAAGUCUUGGGUGAAAUCCCUCAGCUCAACUGAGGAACUGCCUCGGAUACUGCAGGGCUUGAGGCCGGGAGAGGGUAGUGGAAUUCCCAGUGUAGCGGUGAAAUGCGUAGAUAUUGGGAGGAACACCGGUGGCGAAGGCGGCUACCUGGACCGGUUCUGACGCUGAUGCGCGAAAGCGUGGGUAGCAAACA